AGCGAACGCUGGCGGUAGGCCUAACACAUGCAAGUCGAACGGCAGCACAGUAAGAGCUUGCUCUUACGGGUGGCGAGUGGCGGACGGGUGAGGAAUACAUCGGAAUCUACUUUUUCGUGGGGGAUAACGUAGGGAAACUUACGCUAAUACCGCAUACGACCUACGGGUGAAAGCAGGGGAUCUUCGGACCUUGCGCGAUUGAAUGAGCCGAUGUCGGAUUAGCUAGUUGGCGGGGUAAAGGCCCACCAAGGCGACGAUCCGUAGCUGGUCUGAGAGGAUGAUCAGCCACACUGGAACUGAGACACGGUCCAGACUACUACGGGAGGCAGCAGUGGGGAAUAUUGGACAAUGGGCGAAAGCCUGAUCCAGCCAUACCGCGUGGGUGAAGAAGGCCUUCGGGUUGUAAAGCCCUUUUGUUGGGAAAGAAAAGCAGCAGGUUAAUACCCCGCUGUUCUGACGGUACCCAAAGAAUAAGCACCGGCUAACUUCGUG
Molecule: ribosomal RNA, 492 nt
Filed under: uncultured bacterium
Lineage: Bacteria
Description: partial 16S ribosomal RNA
Rfam family: Bacterial small subunit ribosomal RNA
Source: RNAcentral